This is a long non-coding RNA of Scleropages formosus (Asian bonytongue), 567 nucleotides long. RefSeq lists it as uncharacterized. NCBI's taxonomy places the organism in Eukaryota, Metazoa, Chordata, Actinopteri, Osteoglossiformes, Osteoglossidae. The record is from RefSeq and is a predicted model, not a curated record. The transcript is spliced from 4 exons.
GAGCUGCAGAAGCCGUAGAGGAAGAUUGAAGAGCUGCAGGGGCGAGGGAGGCAGCUGGGGGAGGAGAACCGUGCCCUACAGCACCAUCUGAGCUUUGUCAGAGAGGAGCUGCACGGUGCCACGCUUCAGGCAUUUAGGAGCAAAGAAGGGAUCGAGAAGGAGCGUAAUUACAGCCUCGCUUCUAACAGCGGGUCCUCAUCCGGCUUCCGUUGGCGGCGGCCUGGGGGUAGUUCCUGCCCCUCCUUGAGCUCUGUCAGAGGCAAGAAGAAACGGAGAAGCUGAGGGAUGAGGACAGGCGGCUCGAGGACAAGGCGGAGCGCAGUAGUGCGGAGUCAAGCCGCUGGCGGCGGGAGGCUCAGAGGGCGACCGUGGAGUGAGAAGAGGAGCCACGAAGCUGGACACAGCACGGCACACGGCCACGCGGGAACCGAAGCCGCGCGAUGCGGAGCCGGAGGAGGCCCGGCACGCUCGUGACGUGGCCCUGGCCGACCUGCGCCUCCGCAAGGGCGACGCCCGGAGGCUGGCUUUCGAGAAGCAGGGCCUGCAGGAGUUUCUGAAGCGCCUCCA